UAGCCGGCCCGGCCCUCUCCCCCCUCCCUCCCUCCCUCCCUCCAUUGGGAUUGAGAUUGUUGGGAUUGGGGUUGGGUCCUCACCUCCCCUCUCUCUCUCACCAGUCACCCCCACUCCCCAAUUCCACACAGCCAGGCAGUCAGUCAGUCAGUCCUACCACCACACAGCCAGGCCCACACCCAAGCUUCAUGACGACCAGGCCCGACGGAGGCGCCGCCGCCGCGCCCGACAAGCAGCUCGUCCCCGCCUCCGCCCCCAACGCCAACGGGAAUGGCGCCCUCGCCGUCCGCAAGGCCCCCUCCAAGGACCGCCACAGCAAGGUCGACGGUCGCGGCCGACGCAUCCGCAUGCCCAUCAUCUGCGCCGCCCGCGUCUUCCAGCUCACCCGCGAGCUCGGCCACAAGUCCGACGGCCAGACCAUCGAGUGGCUCCUCCGCCAGGCCGAGCCAUCCAUCAUCGCCGCCACCGGCACGGGCACCACCCCGGCAUCCUUCUCCACCUCGUCCCCCUCAUCCCUUCGCUCCUCCUCCCAGCCGCUGGCUGCUUCUCCCACAGCCCACGUCCUGCCCCACGCCGCGCCCUUCAUCCUCGGCAAGCGCGUCCGCGGGGCCGAUGACGAUUCCAACGCCGCCGCCGAGGUCACGGCGGUCGGGGCCGCGCCGGGCUUCUGGGCGCUCCCGGCGCGGGCCGACUUCGGCCAGCUCUGGAGCUUCGCGGCUGCGCCGGAGAUGAUGGUCGCCGCCGCGGCGCCGGCCAUGGCCGGCGAGGCGUCCGCUGCCAGAGUCGGCAACUACCUCCCCAUGGCGCAGGGCAACCUCAACCUGCUCGCCUCCUUCUCCGGCGGGCCCACUGGCGCCGGAGCGGCGGCCACCGCCGGACGGGCCGAGGAGGAGAGCGCCCGCUGAGGUAGGGCUGGCCACCGUCAUCUCCGGCGGUAGGGUUUUAGGGCUUCUAGGAUUUCAUCCGUCCUUCCUUGGCUUCCUUCAUUCGCAUCUGCCGUUGUGUGUGCAUCUGUCACUCAACUCUGGUCGCCUUCCUUGCUUGUUUUGCAUCCUUCCUCAACUGGGCAUCAACAAGAGCAGGAGAGAGCUUGCUCUCUUCUUCUUUGAGCUGUGCUGUUGAAGAAGAAGAAGAAAUCUCCUCUUGGUUGCACAGAACGGCGUCAAAUUCAUCUCUGCAACUGCAUCGGCUCCAACAAGAGAAGAAGAAAGGAAGAAAGCUUUAUGACAGACAAACACACAAGGCUGGCUGUGCUAGGAGAACAUCGAGGAAAAGUGAGCACGCAAUGUCUUCUCUUGUCCAGUUUGUUUUUUUAAUCCCUUCUAGAUUCUCGAAAACAACGCUAUUUUUUCGAGUUGACAGUCACGGAUUUGGACAAGUGUGGAAAUCAUCGUGGGAACUAUAACUGUUUAUGACCUAAAGUGAUCUGACUUGUAAGCUUUAUAUCUUCGGAUGAGAAGAUAAAGCCUGUGAAAUGAUGGAUUCUGCAUUCCCCAAGAUUCUGUCUUGUGCCUUUCUGACAUGGAUGAGCAUAGAUACUGAAUUAGAGAGGUUUCGGCGUCACACACACUCUGUUCAGAUAAUUAGGUGCUAGGUAGAAUGAGAUCAUCAUAGUGUUCUGUCUCAUUCAUGGUUUGUUUAUGAUGGAACUGGUGUGGGUACUUGGGAAUCGAAGAAGCAUUCCAGUGUCUUGAAAA
Molecule: RNA transcript, 1697 nt
Organism: Phragmites australis (common reed)
Lineage: Eukaryota; Viridiplantae; Streptophyta; Magnoliopsida; Poales; Poaceae
Gene name: transcription factor TCP7-like
Exons: 3
Source: RefSeq, a predicted model, not a curated record